AGCAACAAAAACACAUAAAUAUGUUUUACUUCAUAAUAAGACACAAUACCAUAAUAGUGUACAUUUGCACAUACAGAAAUUUAAUAUAUUACAAAGGCUGUAAAUAGUACCUUAACCAAAGAUAAUAAGAAACUGGCUUCUCCCCAAAUUAAAAGCAAAUCGCAAACAAAUCUUAAACUCAUGCAUCAUAUAUAAUGCAGAUGAUAUUGGUAGAACAUUAAGAUACAAUGGUCUCUGGUCUUGGACUCAGUAGCUGACCAGUAAAUUGCAACGUCCCAAACUUGUGCCUGUCGAAACAUCUGUUGGGGCCGUAAUUGAAUCAAAUCUGAGAAAGUUGGUUUAUCAUGGUUGGACGAGGCUGACAUUUCACAACUAAAGGUCGAAGCUUGGGCAAGGAAAGCCCAGUCCCUUCUUUCAUGUCCACCAUUUCCUUGCCAACUCUUUCCCAGUCAAAGCAUUGAAUAAGUGAACCCAAAACUAGCACCACCAUACGCAUUGCCAGGCCUUCUCCAGGACAGGCCCUCCUUCCAGACCCAAAAGGCAUAAAUUUAAACCCAUCUCUUGUCCCUUCUAGGCCUUCAAAUCUUUCUGGUUUGAACUUUCUGGGUUCUGACCAUAAUUUGGGAUCAUUUUGUAUCGCCCAUUCAUUCACCAGUAGCAUGGUUCCCCCUGGGAUGGAGUAGUCUCCUAAGGUGCACCUGACUGAUGAUUCAUGAGGUACUAGUAGCGGGACAGGCGGAUACAUUCUCAUUGUCUCAGUAAUAAUACAAUGGAGAUAAGGUAGAUCAGCUAUAUCCGAUUCAUUGAAGAGACGGUCUUGUCCCACAUGAUUGUCAAUCUCAAUCUGUGCCUUGUUUAGAACUUCUGGAUUGUUUACCAAAAGAGAUAAUGCCCACUCCAUAGUUCCAACUGAAGUAUCAGUCCCUGCUACUAAUAGAACCUAUUCAUAAGGUGAAAACAAUCAGAUUAAUUAUUACCUCCCCUCGUUUUCACAUGUGUGUUGAGGAAAUGUAUGCCAUGACAUUAUUACGAAAUCUAGAACAUUUAACUUUAUUAUCUAGUUUAUUCAAGAUUACUCAUCCAAUAUGAAAUAUACCUAAUUCUAAGAUCCACUCAAACUGUAGAGAAAGUUAAAACAAAAUGAUGAUGUAGGGUUCUGGCUCUGCUUAAUUAAAGCAUAAUGACAUAAUAAAACAUUAGUUUAUAGAUUGCAUAGUAAAGAAGUUAUAUUAGUUUAUUUUCUCUUUCUCAGUAUUAUUAUUCAUCUGAGAUGAACAAAAACAAAAAAGUAAAAAAUAAAGCUCAAGAUGUUAAUGAGUCCCACAUUGCUAAGCAAGUGUUCAAAUGUAUUGAUGUAUGCCUUCAAAAUAUUUUAUUCUUUUUCUACUAGACCUAAUUAUAUAUUUAAAUAAAAAGACACAUAAAGUUCCAACCAAUAAAAUAUUCACAACUUCCGGUUAAGGAGAGAAACUUGAAUGAGUAUCUUCCUUAAACAAUAUGUGCUAUUGGGAUUUGUUUUCUUUUCGGUAUAUAGAAUAGGAUAACACUAUAGGGCAAAGGGAUAAAAAAGCCUAUCAUGUUUACCUCAAUGUUCUACUUGUACUUUAAACUAAUUUUUUUUCCAAAAAUACCUUUAACGUUAUAUUUUUUGGGUCGUCCGUGCCCCUGCCGUUAACAGAAGACAAACGGGGUUAAAAUGUGAUGACGUGGCAGCUUAAAUAUAAAAUAUAUUCUAAAUAAAACAAUAUAUAUCAUUUAGUCAAAUCAAAAAAAAUACUAAAAUAAAAAAUAAAAAAAGCAUAACAUAUUUACAUCAUUUAAUCAAAAUAAUAAAAUUCAAAUUAUUUUGUUAACUAAUCAAAAUAACUAAUUAAAUAAAAUAAGUUGUAUAACAUAUUUACAUCAUUUAAUCAAAAUACUAAAAUUCAAAACAUAACAUAUUUACAACAAAUACUAAUUAAAAAAAAUACUAAAAUCCUAAAAAAAAUCAAAUUUAAAAAAUACUAAAAAUAAAAAUUCAAAUUAUUUUGUUAAUUAAUCAAAACAGCAAAAAUUUAAAUUACAUCAUUAAAAUACUAAAAUCAUAAUACUAAAUACUAAUUGAUAUAAAAUUUUUAAAUUACUAAAAUCAUAAUACUAAAUAAUAUUUUUAAACUAUAUAAAAAUUUGAUGAUGUAAUAAUCAAUACAUAACAGUAUAUGUUAUAAAUAAUAUAAAUAAUUUGAUGAUGUAAUAAUCUAUACAUAACAGUAUACUACCUCCGUCCCACAAUAAGUAUUUUUUUAGGCUUAAUAUUUUUUCCCGAAAUAAGUGAUGUGUUAGAACUCCAAUACAAUUUUUGUAAUAUUUUCUCAUAUAUGCCCUUAUGCAUUCAAUGGUAUUUAUUGCAUCUUACCAUCACUACAAUUAAAUGACACUCAUUAACUCUUCAACUUCAAAGAAAAUAUAUUAAGGGUAUUUUUAUCAUUUUAGCUUGUAUAUUGGUAUGUGUGAUUUAAGCUAAAAAAGCACUUAUUAUGGGACGGAGGUAGUAUGUUAUAAUUUGAUGAUGUCAUAAUUUUUUUUAAAAAAUAUAUUCAAAAAUUCAAAUUACAUCAUAAUAUUUUUAAAAUGAUAUGAUUUUAAAAAUUAAUAUUAAAAAUUACUAAAAUAAUCAUAAUACUCCAGUUUUAAAUUUUAAAAAUAUUAUUUAGUAUUAUGAUUUUAGUAAUUUAAAAUUUUUAUAUCAAUUAGUAUUUAGUAUUUUAAUGAUGUAAUUUGAAUUUUUGUUAUUUUGAUUAAUUAACAAAAUAAUUUGAAUUUUAGUAUUUUUUUAAUUUGAUUUUUGUUAGUAUUUUAGUAUAUUUUUUUUUAAUUAGUAUUUGAUGUAAAUAUUUUAUACAACUUAUUUUAUUUAAUUAGUUGUUUUGAUUAGUUAACAAAAUAAUUUGAAUUUUAUUAUUUUGAUUAAAUGAUGUAAAUAUGUUGUGAUUUUUUUAUUUUUUAUUUUAGUAUUUUUUGUUUUGAUUAAAUGAUAUAUAUUGUUUUAUUUAGAAUAUAUUUUAUAUUUAAGCAUGCCACGUCAUCACAUUUUAAUCCCGUUUGUUUUCUGUUAACGGCAGGGGCACGGGCGACCCAAAAAAUAUAACGUUAAGGGUACUUUUAAAAAAAAAAAAUUAGUUUAGGAUGCAAAUAGAACAUCGAGGUAAAUAUCAGGGUCAUUUUUGACCCUUUGCCCCAACACCAUAUUAUUAUGCUUUUAGUUUUGUUAAAAGUGACUAUUGAAUGUUCCAAUUAAAACUUGAUCUCAUUAUUUUACCAUAUUUUAAAUCAACUCCUAGCCUAUCACUUUUUAUAAAUAUAACAUUAAUUUAUUAUAAAUAAAAAAAAUUAUAUUUUAUAUAAAUAUAAAAACUAUGCCUUAUACCCUGAACUUUAAUUUUUUUUUUCCAUUUUGGAGAUUUUCUUCUCAAUUUUUUUAAUUAGGAAAUUAAACUUUUAAUUUUUUUUAUUACGUCUAAUUGAUAGUACCACAUCAUAAAUUGAUAACAUGACAACGACAUGUGGCUAAAAAAAUGCUUAUGUGUAGUAUUAAGUCUCAUUUUAACAUUUACUCCAUUAAUUUUUUAUACCAAAAAAGGGUAAAUAUAAGACAAUUAUUAAUUUUUUAAAGUAAAUUUAAUACAUUACAAACUCAGCUUUAAAAAAUCAUCAAUAAUCAAUAUAAUGAUAAAUAUUUUAAAAUGUAUAAAUAUACUACUAAUUAAAAAAGAAAUCGAUAUUUUCACAUCAUUUUUUGAUAUUUCCACAUGUCGGACCCAUAUAUUAGCUGAUGUGCCAAAGUUUUAUUAGCUAAUAUGUGAGACCUACGUGUGUUCCCAAAAAAUAUUGUUAUUUCAUAAUCAUCAAUAAUCAAUAUAAUGACAAUUUUACCAUUUUUAGUAUAAAAAAUUAAUGCCUAAAUAUAAAUUAAUACAUUGAACUUUAAGUUUAUUUCAUAAUCAUCAAUAAUCAAUUUAAUUAAUUUUUAUACCAAAAAUGGUAAAUUGUCAAUAAAUUUACUUUAAAAAAUUAAUAAUGGUAUUAUAUUUACUCUUUUUGGUAAAAAAAAAUUAAUUGAAUAAAUGUUAAAUUGAAACUCAAUAUUACACAUAAGUAUUUUUUUUAGUCACGUGUCGCUGUCAUGUUAUCACUCUUCUAACGUGACACUAUCAAUUAGACGUAAUCAGAAUAAAUUAAAAGUUUAAUCCCCUAAUUGAAAAAAUUGAGAAGACAAUCCCGAAAUAAAAAUAAAAUAAAAAUUCAAAUAUUAAUUCAUAUUUAAGCCUAAAAAAUAAUAAAACUACCCCCACCUAAGCCCAGCCUAGGAAAAUGCCCGAGUCUCGAGGCUAGGCGUUCGAAAUUCCAUCUAAAUUCUCUCUUUGAUGUCUAAAGGGCUGUUUGUUUAGGACUGAAUGACAAAAUGGCAGAAUGAUUGAAUUGGUCAGCUAUUAAGUGUGUUUGUUUUGGAAAAAAAUUAUCUGAAUGACUGAAUCGAUCAGUCAUUUAGACGAUUUAAGCUGAAUGAUUUAUUGUCAUUUUUUUGUUGAAUGGGCUGAAUAAAGGCUUAAUGAAGUUUUUUUUUUAAACAAUAUUAACUAUUAUAUUAAAUAAAUUUAUAAUAAUUUUGAAUUUUUUAGAGGGACAAAAUAAUAAAAAUUUGUAAUUCAAAAAUUUGAGACAUCAAUUAUCAAAUAACUUUUUUCAUUCAGAUACAACCCAUAAGUCUGCCUAAAGAUUUAUAAAAUUUCAUUAUGUCAUUCCAUGUCACCACAAUUAAACUUAUAAUUUAAUCAUUUUAUGAGUAAAUGUAACAAAAUACAUUCUUAAUAUUUACACAUUUUACAUUUGAAAGUGUUUUUUUUUGUGAAAUAAUGGGAGUACUAUUUUCAAAUUUAAAUAGAUCAACGACAGUUUUUAAAGGAUCUGGAUCCUCUAUAAGGAUUUUUCUGUGAAGAUCUUGUGAGGGUUUUGUUGUGAGAUUGACAACACAUUAAAAAUAAGAUCCAAUGGCUCACAACUCUUUUUUUGUCUGUGUAUCAAAACGACGUCAUUUUGAUAGGAAUUUUUUUUACAAGUUGACAGAAAAUUGGAAGUCACCAAACGCAGUUUACUUUUACCAAACAAACGAAGUAAAGUAAAAAAGAAUACAUUUAAAAUAGAAUUUGAGUUGUGAUGGUGAUUGUCUCCGUUGAGCAGUGGAUUACGAGAGAUAAGUAAAACGAUUAUUAAUAAUAAAAAAAGAUAUAAAGGAAUAUAUAAAUAAUAAAGGUCUAGAAUAAACUUUUUUUAUGGAACAGAUAAAUAUAAAUUAUAAUAAUAAUAAUAAGUAAUAAUAUAAAUAAACAAACAAAAACAAUAAUAAACGAAAAAUAACUAAAGCCGCAUUGAAAACAUUAACGAUAAUUAUAACCGAUAUAUUUAUUCAUUUUUUUUGGCCAAGUUUGUAGUUAAUAUUAAUAGCAAGCUAAGUUAUUAAAUAUAUAAAAAAAUCAUAUACAUAAUAACUAAGAAAUUUAAAAUAAUUAUAUGUAAAAAUAAAUUGCGUUUGGUGGCUUCUAUUUUUUUUGUCAAUUUAUAAAAAAAAUUCCUAUCAAAACGACGUCGUUUUGAUACACAGACAAAAAAUAAUAAUUGUGAACCAUUGGAUCUCAUUUAUGAUGUGUUGUCAACCCAACAACAAAACCCUCACAAGAUCCUGAUUCGUGUUUUUAAAAGGAUUAUGAAUUAUAAGAAGAGAGAAAAUGAAAAUCUUACCAUCAUGAGACCUCUAAUAAUUUCAUCAGUAUAGUAAUCAGGUUCAGUUUCUUGCAGCGACGAUAACACUUCAAUCAUGCUCUUCUUCCCACCUCCCAACUCCGACCCCUCACGGCCACCAACCCCACCAACGCCGCCGUUGCUACCCAUUUUCCCUCUAUGCUCUUCAAUCAACUCCUGCACAAACUCAUCUCUCUUUUUCCGUAAUACAAUCAUCCUCUUCUCUACCCCUCUCGCUACCACCCACUUCAACGCCGGCAAAAAAUCCCCCAAAUUCGAGGCCCCGCCGAGAUAAAACGUCUCCGUAACUAUCUCCUUAAACCGCCUCGCCUCCUCCAGCUCCGCCACGUUCUCCCCGUAAUACCUCUUUCCGGCGAUCAUCCUCAUCAUCACGUUUAACACCACCUCAAAAAACAUAGAUUUCAUAUCCACCGUCCGUUCUGAAGCUCGAAAGAGCCGACGCAUCAACAACCGAGUCUCCUCAACUCGUAUCGGUUGAAGCGCUUGGAGCCGAUGGGUGGAUAGCAGUUCCAGGGAUGCGAUCCGGCGGAGGUUCCGCCAGUGGUCGCCGUAGGGAGCCCAAACGAGGGAACUGAAGUUGUAGCCGAGGUGUUUUCCGAUGAGCAAGCGAGGGCGGUUGGCGAAUACGAUGUCGUUUUUGGUGAAGCAUUCCUCGGCGAUCGACGGCGAGGAGACUAAGAUGACUCGGCGGGAGCCGAACUGGAGGAGGAGAAUUGGGCCGUGACGAUCUGAGAUCUUGGCCAAAGUGCGGUGGAGUGGUUUCUUCAGGAGGUAUAGAUGGCCCAGAAUCGGUAGAGCUGGGAAUAGGCUUGGUGGGAGGUUUUGGAUUUUGCUAAGGAGCUGUUUGGUGAAUAGAAAUAAGGAUGAUAAUAGGAGAAAGAGGUAGAAGAAGAUUGUGUACUCCAUGUCUCCGUGGCUACAAAAAUCUUGGAAACGGAUCAAGGAGUUGGAAGACUCUUGGAGAGGAAUUAACAGCCGGGUACAUAUAUCUUGAAAUUCAAAAAGCUACCUAGCUUUUAUGUAGUAACUUGGUCCUCAACCGUUGAAAAUAAACAACAACUACUACCGCAACAAACAAAAUAGAGUAAUAAUAUAAAUAGCCUAGCUCAUCCGGUUAUCAUAAAUUUAUCUUACUACCUCUGUUCUUAAAAGAUUAUUCAUUUACCAAGUAAAAUUUAUAUGAAAUUCCAUCACUACCCCUUUAUGGAAAGUUGAAAACUAUUAAUAUAAGGAAGAAAAUUUCUUGGGACAAUGAGAGAAGGUAGGGGUAAUAUAGAAAAGUAAAUAAUUUAUUCUCCUUGAAAGUUGUAAACGACAAACUUUUUGGAACAAAUUUUUUCUUCUAAAACGACAAUCUUUUAAGAACGGAAAGAGUAAUAAUUAGAAAAAGAUCACCUCUCAUCGUGUCAACAAUUUAUUGGUCCUAGUCUAGUGUGGAUACAUUUUUAAUUUUUUUACUUUGCGGAUAAGCAUUCGACAUAUGGGACACACCUUGUUCUCCCCAUCCAUAAUCCUGCAAAAAAGAGGCAUAAUAAUAAAAUUUUCAUAGUAUUUACUCGUAAAUAUUCAUAUCAAAUUUUGAGUCCAAAUCGAAUGAAGUAAUAACGUAUUAAAACUCAAUUUAUUAUCUUAAUAGUAUAUUUUUAAGUCAUAUUAGUACAUUACAAACUUGCUCAAAAGAUCAUAAUCGAAAUUACUAUUAAUAGUAGUUUGGUACCUCAUCAUAUGCAUAUCAAACUAGCUCAUAUGUUCCGAUGCAAAGAUGUUUCCCUCCAGACUAUUUCCUCCAUAUUUGCAAUCUCAGUUGUACUCGUUGCAAGUCAUACUUAUAACAUAUUUCGACACGUGUACAACUGAAAUUAUAAAUAUAAAAAAGUAAAGAGGAAAUAGUCUAGAGAAGAGAACCUCUCGUUCCCAUGUGAGAUAUUUCACAUGAAUUCCACAUCAGAUAAAUUCAAGAGUGUAGAUUGUUAUGUUUGUAAUAUUCUUGGACGCAAUCAAAUUGCACAAAUAAGCGGAAACGUGUAAAAUAUUAGAGUUUAAAAUUUUACAAACCAUAUACCUGGAUCAUCCUUUAUGCACAAUUAUUAAUUAAACGAAAAGAUAUGAAGAACAAGAAUCAUACCCUUGAAGAUUCGAGCUUCCUCAGGUACAAGUUCACCUCCAAUCCUUUUCGCGUUCAACUUGAAUCUACUGGGUUUGGUUCCUUCCUUUGAUCAACGUUAGCCACCCAAGUGUUUGGCCUCUAGAGGUGAUCCACCAAGAAAGAAUAAAUAUUCAAGAAGAUGGGUGUUUGGCAAAACCCUAAUUUUCUAUCUCUCAUAGAAAAGGAGCGUACUCUCCAACUAUUGGAAUUACGUCUGUUGUGAAAAAGUCAACAACCCUUACACCCAUAAUAAGACUUCUCUUAUUUAUAGAUGUGGGCAACCCUCCUUAACAAUUAAGGAAUUGGGUUUUAUUUUAAUUAAUUAAAAUCAUUUAAUUAAUUAUCCUCCUAAUCUUAUUAGGAAUAAAUGAGAGUACUAAUAUUAAAUUAAUUUCCAACUCUUUAAAAAUUAAAAUAAUAAUAAUUGUAAUAAUAUUAAUAAGACUCCUCUUAUUAAUUUAUAUAUUUAAUAUUUCCAAAAUAUUAAAUAAUAAAUAUUAAGCUAUUUAAUUUAUUCUAUCACCAUAGAUUAAAUUAAAUAUACUUAACUUAUUAUUACGAUUAUGCCAUUAACUUCUUAAAUAAUUAUUCUUCCUUUUAUGGUGUGACCCUUUAGGUUCUCCAUAUUAAACCGGUUGUGAAUAAAUCAAUUAGAACAAUUCUAAUCUUAUUUAAAUAAAUAAAUUAAACUAUUAAUUUAUUUAAAUAAAUAAUAUUUAUUCUACAAUAGGGAUAAGCCUCCCUAGCGAUCAACGACUUUCCAGAUAAUAUAGAUUUCAACAUUAAUCAUAAAAGAACCUUUGAGUAAAUAGUUACCGUACAAUUCAAUCCUUCCACCAUACAAUGUCCCAAUUAAAUAUAAGACAUGGAAUUACUGUCAAGUCUUAUUUUAUUUAAUUAUAUGUAUUUCGACUCUUAUAUGCAUAACUCCAAAUAUUGCAAAUUAAAAACUCAUUUCUAAUUUCGUUCUGCCUUGGCCAAGGACUACUGGGUUGUCAUUUAUCGAAUCACAUAGGACAUUUCUCUUCUUUUACUAGACGUGGUAGAUUCUUUAUUGAUCAUACAUUAUCCCCAUGUACAACUUAUUAUACCCAAGCAUACCCUUUGAUAUACCCUAAGGGUCUUAAGGAAUAAGUCAAAGUAUAACUCAUCAUACACAAGAUACUAUGAUGAUCUCAAGUCCAAAGAUCACUUGUACUACUAUUACUACAGGGAUUUCUAUUGACAGACAAGUAAAACUCUAUUAUGUAUUCCUUAGCGAGCCACGUUCAGUGAACUUAUUAUCUAAUAAGCACAUACAUACUUGCUUUAGUGUCUCCACACAAAUGAUCAUGAGAUCAAUCAUCCUCAUCCAAUGAGCAAGCAACGUAUGUACCAAUCUAUCCGGAUUCACUAAUCCCCAAUUUAGUAAUCCAACGAUUGAGAACUAUUUUAGUUUUAAGCUUUCUAAGAAUUUAGAUCUCAUUAAAAUGAUCAUCAUCAUUAUUCUAAAAGUAUUGCUUAAAACUAUGGGUUUAUCACAUAUUAUAAAACAGCAUCAUGUAGAUAAUUAAAAGCCUUUAAUAAAUUAAUACUUUUUAUUAAUAAAUGAAUAAGAUUGUUACAAAGUAUAUGCUUUAUCAUCAAAAAUGAUUGGCUUGUGUGCAUACUACUUUCAUAUAUGAGUUAAUAAGUAUGGUAGAGCCUCAACCUAAUAGGUUAACUUUUUAGGUAAGGAGGUGGUCCAACAUACUUAUUGAGUCCGUCUGCUAGGUGAUGAAUUGAUGUGGGAUGGAUUGUACAAUUUCGCUACAAAUGUCUAGUCAAAACACUUCAUGAGCUUGUUUUUUCAGGUGAAGUACCUUCGAGCACAUCCAUUACAAGUGGCACAAUGACCACAAGGAACAAAGAAGCAGUUUCGUGGCACAUCAUAGCAGAUCGCGCAAAUCUUCCCACCGUAUAAAUCCUCGGGAGAGCUAGACUCCUGAUCAUGAUCUUCUUCAUCAGUUCUGUAAGGCAAUCGAAAUGAUUUCUGGGGCAUCAGCGGAUAGGUCUCACUAAUUUCUCCAACUGGUUGUUCCUCUUCAAAACUUUCCACUUCAUAUGAUCCAAUGUAUUUCACAAGAAGAAAAACAAGUAUCAUCAAAAAUCCUGCAAACCAUGACUAAACAGUUGAAGGCCAUUUAAUAUAUACAGCUACAAGUGUAACAAAAAGGAAAAGUAUAUUCUAUUUAGCAAAAAAAAGAAGAAAGUAUUUUCAUAGUGUAAUACAUACCUGAAAUUACAAUAUAUACAGCAAUACGAACCACAAAACAAAGCACAUGAUACCAUCCAUCAAGAUCUCCCAUGCGAGUAAUUUUUCCAGUUAAUUAGUAGUUAAUUACCCUAAUUUAUGCACAAACUGGCCCCAUAUGUUUCAAGGAAAAUACUUGUCAACUUCCUUUUUUUUUGCCGUUAUUUUUAUAAAAAGAUAAAUCUGUCGUUUUCUAACUCCGACAAUAAUUUCGUUUGUGGGGUCCACCAAUGAUUGUGUCGUAGUACGAAUAAUCCCUGUUAAAGCGAAUAUUCCCCAACCAAUUGAAUAUUUUAUAACCACUUUCUUACUUUGCAAAAUUUGUAAAUAUUACCCACAACUAUAACAUUAUCUCAAAUUCACACCAUAAUAUUCAAAAAUAUAUUUCGAGAAAAAUUAAUCUUUAUUCAUAAAAGUUGGGGUCUUACAACAUAUAUAUAUAUAUAUAUUAUAUGAUAAUUUUGAUAUUUUAUGACAAUAUCCACAAUUAGGGAUGCACAAAAGGCCCGAGGCCUGCGGCCCGGUUAAAGUCCGGCCUGGUCAAGGCCGGUCAGGCCUGUCCUAGAAGGCUUGAAAAGUCCGCUAUUUUUAAAUAAAAAUCUGGCCUGGCUGGGCCUGGCAUGAGGUCUACCCUGGCCUGGCCUGGCCUGAGACCUUACAAGAUUUUUUAUCCAAUUAUUUGUAAUUUUUGAACUUUAAAUUUAUAGUUAUUCAUCAAUAAAGUAUAAAUUUUUACUUAUUCAUUAUUGUAAUUUAUAAAUUAUAAUACAUUAAUUGUGACGCCCCCAAAAUAGGUAUACAUCACAUAUUCUGAGUCGCCAAAUACAUGGUAUAGAAUACAAAUACAACCUUAGAUAUACAACAUGAGCUGUGAGUUUUAAUACAAAUAUUGUCUUCUAGACAGUAUUCAAACUCAAAAUAAGUCCGCAAUACAUUUAUUAUCACACUAUUUUAUAGAAUAGUGAUGACUACUAAUACUAUCAUCUGGACCGUCACUCCGUUCCCCGACUAGUCCCUGCUACGUUCUCAUUUUCUGAAGAGAACAAUGAAAGCAAAAGGGUGAGCUCAACUAGCCCAGUAAGAAAUAUUAUGACUAAGAUAAUGCAAAAUAAAUUAUCAUUAGCCUUCAACAGUGUUAAACUGAUAAAAUAUAACAAACAUCAAGUUUAACUGCAGCGGAACAAGCAAUCCAUUAGAAGAGUCAAGUAGAGAAUAAAAUCUACUAUCUUCUAUGAUUUAAAAGGUUUUUCAUUACUUUUAUCGCUGAGACUCAGCUUAAUAAAUAAUCUACAUCAUCCCUGCACUACGGCCAAGGAUAUUCAUUAGUAUCACGACCACAAAUUAUCUAUGCACUACGGGCCAAGGAUAUUCGUGUAUUCGUCAAUGGUCAUGAUCAUGUCAACAACUGUCCAUCAAUGUACUACGGGGUAAUGAGGACUUUUUCCACAUCAUUUGUAACAUUACGGUCAUGAUUACACCGAAUAAUCCCUGGUCAUAAUCAUACCAAGUCCAUCUAUGCACUACAGGCCACAGAUGACUUUCAACAUAAUAUAAAUAUGAGGAUGAUGACAAAUAUAUAAGAAUUCAAUAAAACAAGUUCAAAAAUUAAUUUAUCUAGGAACUAAUAAUGUCCAAAUUGUCAAUAUGAUACUUCUUUGUAGAGUAACACUCAAGAAUGCUCAGAAGAAUAUUUCCAUGAAAAGAUACUAGAUGAAGCGCAAAUAUCAAGGAUAUUCCACUAAUUUCAUGGAGUACAGAAGUCAAAACUUUAACCAACUAAGUAUAAUAAAGAAUGGAAUAACAAAAGAAAUCACCAGACAUGCGAUAGACCGCACAGACAGGUUAUUCCAACAGAAUAUUAAAUAACGGAACCAGGUCAUGCGUAAACGCACAGACAAGAUAUUCCAACAGAAUAAUAAAUAAUGGAACCAGGUCAUGCGUAAACGCACAUAGGAUAUUCCAACAGAAUAAUAAACAACGGAACCAAGUCAUGUGUAAAUGCACAGACAGGAUGUUCCAACAGAAUAAUAAACAACGAAGUAACAUAAAAAUUUCACCAAGUAUAGGGUAGCCCGCGUAUACAGAUUAUUCCAACAGAAUAAUAAAGAAUGGAAUAACAGAAGUUCUCUUCAUGAAUAAGAAAGAAAUAAUACCCCUUACGAGUACAACAAAUAAAAUCCCUUACCGCAAAAGAAGAGUAUUCCGACUGGUAGGGCGAGAAUAUUCUUGAAGAAAACUUACACUACGCUCAAAGCUUCUUAAAACUCUAAAGAAAUACGCUCAAAAUUAUAGAAGAAUUCUCUGAACUUCUGGUGUGGUUUUCAAUUCUAACUAAGCAUCCUAUUUAUAGAAAAAUAGAAAGGAUACUAUGCUGAACUAUGCAAUAAAAUAUAAUAUAUUCUAAAUAUAUAUAUAUAUAUAUUUAUAUAUUUUAUUUAAAAUCUAAUAAAAUAAAUAACUUUAUAAAAGUAUUCUGUUUUAUAUAAAAAGAUUUUACUAUACAAAACACUAUGCAUAAUAAAAUAUAAUAUAUUCUAAUUAUUGUUUAAUAAAACAAAUAACUUUAUAAAAGUAUUCGGUUUUAUAUAAAAAGAUUUUACUAUACAAAACACUAUGCAUAAUAAAAUAUAAUAUAUUCUAAUUAUUGUUUAAUAAAACAAAUAACUUUAUAAAAGUAUUUUGUUUUAUAUAAAAAGAUUUUACUAUGCAUAAUAGAAUAUUAUAUAUUCUAUUUAUAGUCUAAUAAAAUGAAUAACUUUAUAAAAGUAUAUUAUGUUUUAUAUAAAAAGCUUUUCUGUUUUAUUACAUUAAUAAUACUAAUAAAACAAAACUCAUCAUCAUUAUUAUAAUUCACAAUAUUAAUCGAUCAGGUCGUUCUCAAGAAAGAGGGGGGGCUUUCCAAUAAGGAUUUCUCCUCAUUGGCGCGCAAUUAGGUGACCAAACCUUUCCUUGACAGAACUUCUAGACAUUGUUAAUAUUGUAAAUAAUAAUAUUAAUAACUUUGUCAUCUCAAUUAUUGAUUAUAAAAUAUUGACAAUAAUUGAAUCAAAUAACGUGAGAUACUAUGCAGCAAUUACUGUUACAAUAAUUAAACAAAAUUGAGUGACUUCUCACGUAAGCAUCACUAAUCAAUAUCGUGUGCUACUAUGCAACCACGCGUAUUACUGUACUUUGAACACCGGGUGUUUCAACAGUUAACGGUAAAACUUCAGCCGUUAUUUUCAUAAAGUAUUUUUGUCGUUUUCUCAAUCCGACAAUAACUCCAUUGUGGGGUCCACCACCAAUCGAAUAUUAUAUAACAACUUGCAUACUUUAUAAAAUUUAUAAAUAUUACCCACAACUAUAACAUUAUAUCAAAUUCGUUUCAUAAUAUUCAAAAAUGAUAUUUAUAGAAAAUUCAUCUUUAUUAAAAAAAACUUGGGGUCUUACAUUAAUUUUAAUUAAUACGUCAAUAAAAUUUAAAAUUUUAAUUAUUAAUUCUUGAUUUCUUGUAGAUACAUUUAAUUAAUAUACAUCUUCAAUGAAUAUAACUAGUUAGUAUAUUUAAUAUUAAUAAUAAGUUAGUUACUUGGUUGAUUAAAUAUUAAUAAUAAUAAGUUAAUUUAUUGUAAAUACUAAAUUUUAUUAAUAUUCUUUGUUACUUUAAUGUUAAUAUUAACAUUAAUUAAUACAUCAAUAAUCUAAUUUUUAAUAUUAAAUAUUAAUAAUAAGUUAGUUUCUUGUAAAUACUCAAGUUUUUCAUUAAUUUGGAUAUGCUAAAUUCUUGGGGGAUUAUGAUUUUGGUUAUUUUUAGGUAUUCUGUUGUACCAAUUUAAAUAAAAAUUUUAUAAAGCAAUUAGAAAACUAACUGAAAUUAAUAUUUGAGAUAUAACUAUGUAAGAGUUUAAUGACCACAAAUGAAAAGAUAUAUGUGUGUUUAAACUUUAGAAAAUUUAUGUGCAACCGAUCCUAGUACUAUAAGAAAAUAAAAUCAAAACUAAUUUUAUAUUCAAAAAAUAAAAGUGUAAUUUAUAGUAUUUAGGUAAUCUACAAUAUUUUAUACGAAGUGCAUAGUAGACGAUUAGACAUAUAUUUAAGAAAUCAAUUUGUUUUAUAUUCCAGUUACAUCUAAAUUAUAUUUUUCUGUAAUUUAAGAUGAAUAUAUUUAUUUUUGUUCUAAUCAUUCAACUUAUAUUAGUGUAGUAGAAUGUUAAAAUAAAAUAAAUCUAAAAAAUCUUGCAUCUUUUUUACAAAAUUUAUUAAUUUAUAUUUUAUAAUUUAUAAUUUAUAUUUUUAAUAUUUAAUAUGUAACAUUAAAAAAAAAAAAACCAGACCAACCAAGGCUUUGGGUAUGGCCUGACCUUGGUCCUGGGCCUGACCUUGGGUCUGGCCUGGACUUGGGCCUGGCCUGACCUAACCUGCAGGCUUAGUUAGACCACAGCCCAACGACCAAGGCAUGGCCUGGCCUGGCCUAGAGGCCAAAAGUCAACGGCCUGACUUGAUCUGGUCAAAGCCUAAGGCCUUGCAAGCCCAGGCCAGACCAGACCAGCCUGUUGUGCAUGCCUAUCCACAACUAACAAUCAAACAUAUACUUCAAAUAUCUUAAAAUCAUUUUAUUCCAUUCUCCAUUCUAUUAUUUUAAUCCAAACUUAGCAUCAAGACUCAGUAAUAAAAUGAAGAACACUUUCCGGCAAGUUGAUGAUAGGUUCAGACAGAGGAAUCUUUUCCAAGUUUGCUCCUCCUUGUUUGGGAUGCUUAAUUAACAAUAUUGUUAAGUUCUAUAUUCAGAAAAAGAAUCAUAAUACUACAAGCUUAGGAGUAUCUUUCAUUUCCUAGGUCGGUAUUUCAAUAAGUUUAGCGGACCGGACACUACUGACCGGUCCAAAAUUUAUUUUUUUUCACUUUGACUCCCAAAAAAUGUACAAUAAGUCUAGCCGGACAGGAAAGCUGGACAGGAUUAUUGAACAGGCGAUUNNNNNNNNNNNNNNNNNNNNNNNNNNNNNNNNNNNNNNNNNNNNNNNNNNNNNNNNNNNNNNNNNNNNNNNNNNNNNNNNNNNNNNNNNNNNNNNNNNNNAUAGUAUUUAUUUCAACAGGAAUUUUUAUAAAAUAUAGUGUUUUAGGUGUAAUUUGGAUACACAUACAAAAAAGGAGUUAUACAGUCUGUAUAACCCUAUUUUUGUAUGUGUAUCCAAAUUACACCUAAAACACUAUAUUUUGUAAAAAUUCCUGUAGGAAUAAAUACUAUACAUUUUUUGGAGUCACAAGCAAAAAAAUAAAAAAAUAAAAAAAUUCGCCUGUCCAAUAAUCUUGUCCAGCUUUCCUGUCUGUGUAGAAGCACCUAAAAAUAUAUAGUAUUUAUUUCAACAUGAAUUUUUAUAGAAUUCAGUGAUUUAGGUGUAAUUUGGAUAUAUAUAAAAAACAGUGUUGUACAAUUAUAUGUAUCUAAAUUACUUGAUUCUGUAAAUAUUCCAGUUGGAAUAAAUAUUAAACAUUUUUUGGAAGUCAAAGCAAAAAAAAAAAAAAAAAUUGGACCAGUCGCUAGACGGCUAGACCGGUCGGUAGUAGCCGGUGGUCCCUAGAAGAACUGUUUGUAUUUUGUUUCAAAAUAAUUUCUAUAUAAUUGUUCUCAACAUUUUUUUUUUCUUUUUCAGUGUUUAUAUGACACUUCAUAAAAGUGUAUACUUUUUUUGGUAAAUCAAAGGAACAUCUUCAUACAAGCCUUUAUCCCACUGAAACAAAGGCUACGGUUGAUAGUUCAAAUACAUUAAGUAAUCUGUGUUCUCGCUCUUGCAUUGGGAUAUUGAUUCAUACUCAUGGCUUAGCAACAGAAACACAGAAAUAUGUUUAACUUCAUAAUAAGACGCAAUACCAUAAUAGUGUACAUUUGCACAUGCAGAAAUUUAAUCUAUCACAAAGGCUGUAAAUAGUACCUUAACCAAAGAUAAUAAGAAACUGGCUUCUCCCCAAAUUAAAAGCAAAUCGCAAACAAAUCUUAAACUCAUCAUAUAUAAUGCAUUAUAAUGCAGAUGAUAUUGGUAGAACAUUAAGAUACAAUGGUCUCUGGUCUUGGACUCGGUAGCUGACCUGUAAAUUGCGACGUCCCAAACUUGCGCCUGUCGAAACAUCUGUGGGGCCGUAAUUGAAUCAAAUCUGAGAAAGUUGGUUAAUCAUGGCUGGACGCGGCUGACAUUUCACAACCAAAGGUCGAAGCUUGGGCAAGGUAAGCCCAGUUCCUUCUGUCAUGUCCACCAUUUCCUUGCCAACUCUUUCA
RNAcentral lists this long non-coding RNA (16464 nucleotides) under Panax ginseng (ginseng). Its description in RNAcentral is "long non-coding RNA (PGIN_LNC018168)". The record is from RNAcentral. Lineage: Eukaryota; Viridiplantae; Streptophyta; Magnoliopsida; Apiales; Araliaceae.